ACCUCGUCUCUCAGAUUCAUUGGCCUGUCAUGAGGCAAGCAGAGUGAGCUUGGACUCAGUAACACUGACAUUGUCAAAUGUCCCCUAAUGGCUGAAAAACCACUGGUAUAGAGUCUACCCUAGAAACAGUGUGGUCUGCAGACCAGCAGCAUAAGCCUCACCGGGGAGUUUCUUCAAGAUGCCAAAUCCCAGGCCCCUUGUCAGAACUGCAGAGCCAGGAUCUGCAGUUUAUCUAGAUCCCCCAGGGUCUCAGGUGGUCCGUCUCCUAACCUUGAUGAGUCUCUCUGGUCCCUUUAAGCUGGCCUCGGGUGGUUUCAUGGCUGCUCCUCCCUCGAUUAGCAACUGCUUGAAUUUGCUUUUUGGAACUCAGAACAUGAAGACUUUCUGAGCAGGUUGUCAUCAAAAGAUCAGCAGACUUUUUCAAAAAUGUCAAAUCACAUAUAAGUUUCUCACAAGUGAUGAAAUCACUGAUACGGCAAGUUUCCAAUUAACAGGACUAUACAAGGAAUUACUUCCUUUACACUUUGGACUCCAUAACUAGUGUUCGGAAUCCCAGUGGUCUCCACUGACACUGAAGUCAGAGCUCGAAAAUACCACCAGGUGGCGCCAAUACCACUUUAAUAGAUUGAGAAAUGGCCAAGCUUGUUUCUAAUAAACAUAAAUCCUUCCAAUUUUUUUUAAAGAAUUUUUAAAAUUUCUGUCUUUCUUUACUGU
Long non-coding RNA from Bubalus bubalis (water buffalo), 714 nucleotides. RefSeq lists it as uncharacterized. The transcript is spliced from 3 exons. NCBI's taxonomy places the organism in Eukaryota, Metazoa, Chordata, Mammalia, Artiodactyla, Bovidae. The record is from RefSeq and is a predicted model, not a curated record.